AUACGGAGGGUGCGAGCGUUGUUCGGAAUUAUUGGGCGUAAAGAGCAUGUAGGCGGUCUGUUAAGUCUGGUGUGAAAGCCCGGGGCUCAACCCCGGAAGUGCAUUGGAUACUGGCAGACUUGAUUAUGGGAGAGGAAAGCGGAAUUCCGAGUGUAGGAGUGAAAUCCGUAGAUAUUCGGAGGAACACCAGUGGCGAAGGCGGCUUUCUGGACCAAUACUGACGCUGAGGUGCGAAAGCGUGGGGAGCGAACAGGAUUAGAAACCCCAGUAGUCC
This 274-nucleotide ribosomal RNA is filed under the name uncultured bacterium. RNAcentral's name for it is "partial 16S ribosomal RNA". It matches the Rfam family "Bacterial small subunit ribosomal RNA", at positions 523 to 796 of the family's 1533-position model. The record is from RNAcentral.